AGAGUUUGAUCCUGGCUCAGGAUGAACGCUAGCUACAGGCUUAACACAUGCAAGUCGAGGGGCAGCAUGGCAGAAGCUUGCUUCUGCUGAUGGCGACCGGCGCACGGGUGCGUAACGCGUAUCUAACCUACCCCUGGCUCUGGGAUAGCCCAUCGAAAGAUGGAUUAAUACCGGAUGGUUUCCUUUGGCGACAUCGCCGUUGGAAUAAAGAUUUAUCGGCCUGGGAUGGAGAUGCGACUGAUUAGGCAGUUGGCGGGGUAACGGCCCACCAAGCCUGCGAUCGGUAGGGGUUCUGAGAGGAAGGUCCCCCACAUUGGAACUGAGACACGGUCCAAACUCCUACGGGAGGCAGCAGUGAGGAAUAUUGGUCAAUGGGCGAGAGCCUGAACCAGCCAAGUAGCGUGCAGGAUGACGGCCCUAUGGGUUGUAAACUGCUUUUGUGCGGGAAUAAAGUCGCCCACGUGUGGGUGUUUGUAUGUACCGCAAGAAUAAGGACCGGCUAAUUCCGUGCCAGCAGCCGCGGUAAUACGGAAGGUCCGGGCGUUAUCCGGAUUUAUUGGGUUUAAAGGGAGCGCAGGCGGGCUGUUAAGCGUGACGUGAAAUGCUGGGGCUUAACCUUAUGUAGUGCGUCGCGAACUGGCAGUCUUGAGUGGGUACGACGUUUGCGGAAUUCGUGGUGUAGCGGUGAAAUGCUUAGAUAUCACGAAGAACUCCGAUUGCGCAGGCAGCAAGCGAGUCCCUUACUGACGCUAAAGCUCGAAGGUGCGGGUAUCGAACAGGAUUAGAUACCCUGGUAGUCCGCACGGUAAACGAUGGAUGCCCGCUGUUGGCGAUAUAAUGUCAGCGGCCAAGCGAAAGCGUUAAGCAUCCCACCUGGGGAGUACGCCGGCAACGGUGAAACUCAAAGGAAUUGACGGGGGCCCGCACAAGCGGAGGAACAUGUGGUUUAAUUCGAUGAUACGCGAGGAACCUUACCCGGGCUUGAAUUGCAGAGGAAGGAAUUAGAGAUAAUGACGCCCUUCGGGGUCUCUGUGAAGGUGCUGCAUGGUUGUCGUCAGCUCGUGUCGUGAGAUGUUGGCUUAAGUGCCAUAACGAGCGCAACCCUUUUCGAUAGUUGCCAUCAGGUUAAGCUGGGCACUCUGUCGACACUGCCGCCGUAAGGUGUGAGGAAGGUGGGGAUGACGUCAAAUCAGCACGGCCCUUACGUCCGGGGCUACACACGUGUUACAAUGGGAGUUACAGAGCGUCAGGCGCCGGCAACGUUGUCUUAAUCGCUAAAGUCUCCCUCAGUUCGGAUUGGGGUCUGCAACCCGACCCCAUGAAGCUGGAUUCGCUAGUAAUCGCGCAUCAGCCAUGGCGCGGUGAAUACGUUCCCGGGCCUUGUACACACCGCCCGUCA
Molecule: ribosomal RNA, 1399 nt
Filed under: uncultured bacterium
Lineage: Bacteria
Description: 16S ribosomal RNA
Rfam family: Bacterial small subunit ribosomal RNA
Source: RNAcentral